AUAUUUUUUAAAGUAGACAACCUAGGGUAUUUAAUAUGUGGUAUGUCCAGUCUUUUUUAGUAGCCACUUAGUCACAAACACUGGCCAAAGUUAGCAUUUAUAUUUGUGUGUUAAAAAUGCAAAAAACUAUUAUCAACGCUAACUUUUGCAAUACCUUGGGUUGUCUUUUUUUUUGCAAAUGGUAUGCCAUUAUGGGGGUAGUUCUCAUUCCUGGGCUACCAUACGCUCUCAAAGGCAACAUAACCAAUCUGACAAAUUUCAAUGUGAAAAAACCAGAAAAUCAAGCCUUUUAUUUGACCCUGUAACUUUCAAAUACACUAUAAAAACUGUACAUGGCUGAUAUCAGCAUAUCUAAUGGCUAAUGUAGAAACUCACCUAUUGAGGCUUGCCUUGACGUGGCAGGUGAGCUUAUAUAUUCAAAUGGCCAUUGGAAUAAAACUAAAGAGCCUCCAUUUUGUUUCAAUGUAAAUAGGGAUUCAGGCCAGAGCGCAGGUAACUUUCUUUUUGUUUUUACAAUGUAUUUUGAGCUGUUGGAUAGUAAGCUACUGCUGCUCUAAGCGCAGUGCUUUAUCUUUGUGUUUAUACAUACAUACAUGCAUACUUGGAUGGUUGAAGAGGCAAGUAGGGAAAUGCCGCAGGUGAAUUAUGAGUUUUUUUUUUUUCCAGUUUUGUUUAUGUGUAUAUAGUGUCAAUCACUUCCCAGAUUUUUAAUCAAUCAUGCCACCUCAAGAUCACAUUUAGUACAACAAGAGUUGCAGAGCUACGAUUACCUCCCCCUGAUUUAGUUAAUGGUAGAUGAUAGCAAACAUUUUCAUGCAUUCUAAAUACCAGCUUAUCACUGCUCUUCAUCCCUUUAACAUGUGUGCAUGUUCAUAUUGUUGUCAAAAUAAAGAUAAGCCAAAACUCAAUUCAGGCACCCAUCAUUACUGAAAAUUUUGAUUAGAAGAUUGGACAUUUACUCAGCAGUCUACUAGACUUCCUGUGUCUUUAUGUUGAUUCAAAUUGAAUAUGAAAGAGACUAUUUCACAGGUGUUUCAUGUAGGUGUGCAGACACAGCCAUAUUACUACAUUGGAAGCACUUUAAAUCUAAGUGUCUUAUUAUUCAGCUUAGUAAUAGUGUGUAUAGAACUUUAAUUAUUUUUUUUUGUGUGAGGUGACAUUUAAUUUUCUAACUGAC
Non-coding RNA from Pelobates cultripes (western spadefoot toad), 1177 nucleotides. The record is from the annotation of a GenBank genome assembly. NCBI's taxonomy places the organism in Eukaryota, Metazoa, Chordata, Amphibia, Anura, Pelobatidae.